AGGAUUCCCCUAGUAACUGCGAGUGAAGCGGGAAAAGCUCAAAUUUAAAAUCUGGCGGUCUUUGGCUGUCCGAGUUGUAGUCUGGAGAAGCGUUUUCCGUGCUGGACCGUGUACAAGUCUCCUGGAACGGAGCGUCAUAGAGGGUGAGAAUCCCGUCUUUGACACGGACUACCAGUGCUUUUGUGAUGCGCUCUCAAAGAGUCGAGUUGUUUGGGAAUGCAGCUCAAAAUGGGUGGUAAACUCCAUCUAAAGCUAAAUAUUGGCGAGAGACCGAUAGCGAACAAGUACCGUGAGGGAAAGAUGAAAAGCACUUUGGAAAGAGAGUUAAACAGUACGUGAAAUUGCUGAAAGGGAAACGCUUGAAGUCAGUCGCGUUUGCUAGGACUCAGCCUUGCCUCGGCUAAGGUGCAUUUCCUAGUAGACGGGCCAGCAUCACUUUUGGCUGCGGGAAAAAGGUCAGAGGAAUGUGGCACCUCCGGGUGUGUUAUAGCCUCUGGCUGUAUACCGUGGCUGGGAGUGAGGAACUCGGCACGCCUUUAUGGCGGGGCUUCGGCCACCUUCGUGCUUAGGAUGCUGGCGUAAUGGCUUUAAACGACCCGUCUUGAAACACGGACCAAGGAGUCUAACAUGCCUGCGAGUGUUUGGGUGGAAAACCCGAGCGCGUAAUGAAAGUGAUAGUUGGGACCUCUGUCGUGGAGGGCACCGACGCCCGGACCAGACCUUCUGUGACGGAUCCGCGGUAGAGCAUGUAUGUUGGGACCCGAAAGAUGGUGAACUAUGCCUGAAUAGGGUGAAGCCAGAGGAAACUCUGGUGGAGGCUCGUAGCGAUUCUGACGUGCAAAUCGAUCGUCAAAUUUGGGUAUAGGGGCGAAAGAC
Molecule: ribosomal RNA, 876 nt
Filed under: Phanerochaete carnosa
Lineage: Eukaryota; Fungi; Basidiomycota; Agaricomycetes; Polyporales; Phanerochaetaceae
Description: LSU rRNA
Rfam family: Eukaryotic large subunit ribosomal RNA
Source: RNAcentral